Long non-coding RNA from Bubalus bubalis (water buffalo), 1133 nucleotides. RefSeq lists it as uncharacterized. NCBI's taxonomy places the organism in Eukaryota, Metazoa, Chordata, Mammalia, Artiodactyla, Bovidae. The transcript has 2 exons. The record is from RefSeq and is a predicted model, not a curated record.
CUUCUGCUGGCCGUAUGCUCUAAGCUCUUUGUUCCUUGCUCCUAUAAAAAGACUUGACUGCAGAAAUAAACUUGUCAGUCCUAGUAUAGACUGUCCAAGUGUUGUUCUUUCAGGUUCACCAUUUCCAAGUCCUGGGAGAGAAAAUUCCAACAAGUGGCGCCAAGAACAGGGACUUGACGGAAGACUGAACAAAGUGGUGAGCCCUGCAGAAAGAGAUGGAGAAGAAAUCUGGGUUCCACUUCACCAUGUCCGUUACCGAGAAGGACCCCAAGACCAGACUUCCCUGACAGGUGACGUAGCUGACACGAAGCAUCUCGUCAAUGACCAUAGAGGAGCCGAAGAGAAAACGUCAACGUCUGAACCCCUACCGUAGGACCUGAGCAAUGGCAUGUGUGGAAGAUUCCUGCUGCAUUGGGCGCUUUGCCAAUGUGUAUGGGACUGUGAAAGCCUUAAAACCUCAAAACUAUACCUUUUUAUACGAUAGUACAGGUUAUAUCCAAUCUUGUGUGCACCUCCCAUACAUGUUUAUUGUAGGUAACUUCGAUAUAGAUCUUUCUGCUAAGAUUGUUAACUGUACAGCAUGUGCCUUGUAUACGUGUUUAAACCAUACUAUUUCAUAUCAUUAUGUCAACAUUGCAAUAGUCAAGCAAAGAUCCGAUUUGUGGCUUCCUGUUAACCUAACAGAACCAUGGACCGACUCUGUAUUUCUCUCAGUUUUGCUCAAAUAUGGCUUAAGGAGGUCAAGGCGCAUAAUAGGAUGGAUUAUUGCUGGCAUUCUUGGUCUAAUAUCUAUUGUUCCAGUAGGAACCCUAUCUGGUAUGGCACUACACAAUUCUAUACAGAUGUCUCUACUCAAGACUCCAUGCUUCCUACGACAGAGUCCAACUAACAGCUGCCAUGCUUAAACUAAAAACAAAAGGAGAAUAUGUUGGGAGGCACAGUGCAAAAUAGCCUUAAAAGAGAAGGUCCGUGGGAAAAUGGCAAAGAGCCAGAAGUACCCAGGCAUUGUGUACUGAUUGCUGAAGAACACUUCCUGCCUUUGGCUAUGCUCGGCGCCUAGAUUUAACAAUUAAACAUUAAAGACGUUGCUUGAGAAAAUGGGUCAUGGAUAAAUACAUGGGUUGUUAAGAAUG